Long non-coding RNA from Helianthus annuus (common sunflower), 611 nucleotides. RefSeq lists it as uncharacterized. The record is from RefSeq and is a predicted model, not a curated record. NCBI's taxonomy places the organism in Eukaryota, Viridiplantae, Streptophyta, Magnoliopsida, Asterales, Asteraceae. The transcript is spliced from 3 exons.
CUUCAACUGUCAAGAGUUCAAAUACUAGUGUCAGCACAAGAGACGACUUGGAUGGAUUGGAGUCAUUUACAAGCGAAUUUAAAAAGGUUGAGAACGAAAAAUAACAAUUAGACAUGUAUUUGGAAGAGCCUGAACUUAAUAGGAGAGAAGAACUUGACGUCUUACAAUAUUGGAAGGAUAAUCAAGGUAGAUAUCCUCAAUUGUCUCUCAUGGCUCGUGAUAUAUUGAGCAUCCCAAUCACUACUGUUGCUUCAGAGUCAUCUUUUAGUAUCGGGGGACGGGUUCUAAGUAAAUACCGAACUUCACUGCUUUCAUCAAGUGUCGAGGCUUUGUUAUGUGCUCGUGAUUGGUUGUUCGAUUUAGAAGAGGAAGAUGAGGAUGAUACGGAGGAUGGACUUGCAGAAGAUAUUGAAGCAUUGUAUCCAACGUAUCAAAGUAGCCAAGUUUAGGGGUCGUGGGACUACGUAGCUUGAUGGUGAGGUUGAAUGGACCGACUUAUGUUGUGAUGAUUUUGGAGAUUUGUGUUUAUGUUUUGGUUAUAUUGUAUGUUCGUGGUUCCUUAUGUUUUGUAUGCGAUGAUUUUAGAGAUAUUAACGCUUGGUUAAGAUUAA